RNAcentral lists this ribosomal RNA (478 nucleotides) under uncultured bacterium. RNAcentral describes it as "bacterial SSU rRNA". It matches the Rfam family "Bacterial small subunit ribosomal RNA", at positions 28 to 507 of the family's 1533-position model. The record is from RNAcentral.
GAUGAACGCUGGCGGCGUGCUUAACACAUGCAAGUCGAACGAAGCGAUUUUAAUGAGACCCUCGGGUGGAUUUAAAAUUGACUUAGUGGCGGACGGGUGAGUAACGCGUGGGUAACCUGCCUUACACAGGGGGAUAACAGUUGGAAACGACUGCUAAUACCGCAUAUAAUACAUUUCGCGCAUGAGAGAUGUAUGAAAGUAUUUCGGUGUAAGAUGGGCCCGCGUCUGAUUAGCUAGUUGGUGAGGUAAUGGCUCACCAAGGCAACGAUCAGUAGCCGGCUUGAGAGAGUGACCGGCCACAUUGGGACUGAGACACGGCCCAAACUCCUACGGGAGGCAGCAGUGGGGAAUAUUGCACAAUGGGGGAAACCCUGAUGCAGCGACGCCGCGUGAGUGAAGAAGUAUUUCGGUAUGUAAAGCUCUAUCAGUAGGGAAGAAAAUGACGGUACCUAACUAAGAAGCCCCGGCUAACUACGUG